This 96-nucleotide small nucleolar RNA is filed under the name Hordeum vulgare subsp. vulgare (domesticated barley). Its description in RNAcentral is "Small nucleolar RNA SNORD96 family". It matches the Rfam family "Small nucleolar RNA SNORD96 family". Rfam says of the family: snoRNA Z37 is a member of the C/D class of snoRNA which contain the C (UGAUGA) and D (CUGA) box motifs. Z37 acts as a methylation guide for 5.8S ribosomal RNA. Lineage: Eukaryota; Viridiplantae; Streptophyta; Magnoliopsida; Poales; Poaceae. The record is from Rfam by way of RNAcentral.
UGGCUGGUGAUGAAAAACCUAUUAAUCAUACCAUCUUUCGGGACUGAUCGGUCACUAUGUAUGUGUCCAUGCUGUCUUUCUGCAAUUCUGAAGCCA